GGUGCGUAACACGUAUGCAACCUACCUUCAACUGGGGAAUAGCCCGAAGAAAUUCGGAUUAAUACCCCAUAAUAAUAGAAAUUCGCAUGUUUUUCUAUUUAAAACUCCGGUGGUUGAAGAUGGGCAUGCGUCCUAUUAGUUAGUUGGUGAGGUAACGGCUCACCAAGACUCCGAUAGGUAGGGGUUCUGAGAGGAAGAUCCCCCACACUGGUACUGAGACACGGACCAGACUCCUACGGGAGGCAGCAGUGAGGAAUAUUGGACAAUGGACGAAAGUCUGAUCCAGCCAUGCCGCGUGUAGGAAGACUGCCCUCUGGGUUGUAAACUACUUUUAUAAGGGAAUAAACCCCCGUACGUGUACGGGGCUGAAUGUACCUUAAGAAUAAGCACCGGCUAACUCCGUGCCAGCAGCCGCGGUAAUACGGAGGGUGCAAGCGUUAUCCGGAUUUAUUGGGUUUAAAGGGUCCGUAGGUGGAAUUGUAAGUCAGUGGUGAAAUCUUUCGGCUUAACCGGAAAACUGCCAUUGAUACUGCAGUUCUUGAGUAUGCUCGAGGUAGGCGGAAUAUGUCAUGUAGCGGUGAAAUGCAUAGAUAUGACAUAGAACACCAAUAGCGAAGGCAGCUUACCAGAUCAUAACUGACACUGAGGGACGAAAGCGUGGGGAGCGAACAGGAUUAGAUACCCUGGUAGUGCACGCUCGUAAAUCGAUGAUCACUAGACAUUGGCGACAUACGGUCGGUGUCAAAGCGAAAGUAUUAAGUGAUCCACCUGGGGAGUACGCCGGCAACGGUGAAACUCAAAGGAAUUGACGGGGGCCCGCACAAGCGGUGGAGCAUGUGGUUUAAUUGGAUGAUACGCGAGGAUCCUUACCUGGGGUUAAAUGCAGAACGACCGAUCCGGAAACGGAUCUUUGUUCGGACGGUCUGCAAGUUGUUGCAUGGUUGUCGUCAGCUCGUGCGGUGAGGUGUCGGGUUAAGUCCCAUAACGAGCGCAUCCCCUAUCGUUAGUUGCCAGCGGAUAAUGCCGGGGACUCUAACGAAACUGCCCGUGCAAGCGGAGAGGAAGGUGGGGAUGACGUCAAAUCAUCACGGCCCUUACGUCCAGGGCUACACACGUGCUACAAUGGCGCAUAUCAAAGGGCAGCUACCACGCGAGUGGAUGCUAAUCUCUAAAGUGCGUCU
RNAcentral lists this ribosomal RNA (1181 nucleotides) under uncultured organism. RNAcentral describes it as "bacterial SSU rRNA". It matches the Rfam family "Bacterial small subunit ribosomal RNA", at positions 105 to 1288 of the family's 1533-position model. The record is from RNAcentral.